Molecule: long non-coding RNA, 5143 nt
Organism: Scylla paramamosain (green mud crab)
Lineage: Eukaryota; Metazoa; Arthropoda; Malacostraca; Decapoda; Portunidae
Exons: 2
Source: RefSeq, a predicted model, not a curated record
AGAGAGAGAGAGAGAGAGAGAGAGAGAGAGAAAUCUGUACCUUUCACCUUUCUUAACAGCUUUACUUUUCUCUCUUCAAAUUCCUGCUUGGGUCAACUUAUCAAUAUUUCCACGAAUUCCCUACCUACAAACAACGCCUUCCCUGGAGAACAUUCCUGAAACGUUUGAGAGCUUUUCAGCCAUAGAGAAACUGAGGAGUGAUUCGCCCUUGCAGACUGAGUAGAAGAGAGGAGCUGAGAAAAAUGAAGUGAAAUUGCCUGAAAUGUGCACGUGUGGUCUGUUCAAAGCGGAGUACACGAGGGCGGUGCCGUACAAGUUUGGUGGCUUCGUUCGAGAAGAGAGAGAGAUAAAGAGAGAGAGGCAAGACACCCGCGUGAAAUUUUUAUCAUAAAGUGCAAGGUGAGAGAUGGAGGAUUAAAGCAGGAGGAAGAGGAGGAGGAGUAGGAUAAGGACGAGAGGUCGGGUGAGGGAGAGCGAAGGAGGGAGUUGCAAGUGGCGGGCGAGAUGACAGGCUGGGCUAGAUAGAGGUGAGGUGACGGUAGCCAGCCUGAACCGCCAGCGAGUGUUCAGUGUGCCACAGGACAGCGCGUAGGAUAGAGGGAAUUAUAAAAAAGAGUGAUCGCAGGAAAAAAACAAAAACAAAAAAACAAAAAACAAAAAACAAAAUUCAACACGACGGAAGGAGGAGCUACAGAGAGGCGGAGGCACCGGGCGAGGACGUGAGGUGGAGAGGAGCUGGAGUGGCGAUGCUGGGAACACACUCGGAAAAUGAGACUCAAGAAAAGAACUAAAGGUAUUUGACACAUGACAGAGAAGCAAGGCAGCGGCGGUGAAGAGUGAGAGUGACGCAGAGGAGCAGGAGCGGAGGGGACAGUGAUGAAGUGAGAGGGAAGGAGUGCGGCAGCAAGUGGUUGUGUUUGAAUGGACCUUGUUGACAGUUUGGAGGAGAAUAAGAGGAAGAGGAAGUGAAGUGCCAGUGUAGAGCAGGGGCCUGAGGGGGACUCUUGUAAGGAGGCAACUUGAAAGGAAGAGGAGGAAGAAGGGUAGAGAAGUACAUGUAAGAGGAGGAGUCUAAGGGAGGGGCACGCUGAGGGCACUUAUAAUCUCCUGAAGGCAAGAACACCUGCCGAGGCCCAGACGCAAGUGACACAGUUGUUGUUUAUAGUGUACUGAGAAACUUGAGGAGCGAAGGAGAGGAGAAGCGGCCGAAAGGAAGGAGCAGCAGCAGGAGGCGGUGGAAUAAGGCGGCUGGUGGUGCCCCUCAGACCGCCUCUUUCUUCCCGCCUCGUCCGCAGCAUGCCCACUGCGCUCAUCAUCUUUGACCACGUGUUCCUGCUCAUCCUGUUCCUGAUCGCGCUGUUCUUCGGCGUGCUGGCUCUCAUGGUGAGGCACAGGCGGGGCGUGUCGCUCAUGUCAGGCGCCGCUGCUCCGCUCCUCUAAGCGUAGCCGCCCAUCACCCCGCCCACCCCGCGCCAGUCAAGGAGGAGCGGUCUGUCAGCUGAGAGACCACUUUCGCCCUCCCCAUCAAAUCUGGCAUAAGUAUCUCCUCGUACCAGGGAGAUAACUUCAGCCGCCCGCCGCAGUCCAGCUCAGAGGGAAGGAGGUUCAGCCAUAGCAAGACGACCGCUCUCCCUUAGGUUGUCUUGGGCAUAACUCUUCCUCCAGUUAUCGGAAGUGGACGCUCGUAGCCUUCAGACCAGCCACGCACGCACACACGGCUCUACCCGCCCCUCUGCUUCAACUCAAGGCCCGAGGGAGAACGAGGGAGGACAUCCUAGCGCGUCAGAAGUGCAGCGCUUCAGUAGAUCAGGAUAUUGUUGACCAGGGAAUCCCGUGAUGAGUGUACCUGUGUCGCGCUGGUGAUUGGUUCCUUGGUUCCAUUCUCCAUUGAGUCAUUCGGUCAGCCUUUGAGUCACGAAACACCGCCAUCAUCCCCAUAUUUGUUGUCUUUCUCUCCUUGUAGUUGAUGCAAAGGAUUCUUUCCUCCCGCCCACCUGUCCGUGUGUUGCACUUGCCCGCACACGAACAGUGGAAAAGACUGGUGUUGCUCCGCCGUCAACCAGUGUGAUCCUUGAGUAGAGUGUGUCUGUCUGUGUUCGUCACGUAUCGGUCAAAGAAGUCAAGGGGGUGACAUUACCUGCACUUCUAUCUCACAUCGCCAUAUACACACACACACACACACACACACACACACACACACACACACACACACACACACACACAAACUGAACUAACUUCCCAGAAACACAGCUGUCACGCAUCGCCGCCUCCUCUCCUGUCUCAACACACCACCACCACCACCACCACCACCACCACUUCCCUCACCAUGAACGCCCUGCUGGCCCUAGACGCGGGGUUCCUCGGGCUGCUGCUGGUGGUGGCCGUGGCUUGCUUCGUGUACACAGUGGUCCCGCCCUUGAGAGCCUCCCCGCGCUUCACCCACCUCACCCACGUCAUCACCCCGGAGAUACCUAGGCCAGGGGACGCCGCCGCUCCUGUCGUGGACGUGUGAGCGAGGGUCCUGUGGGAGGGAGGGAUGGGGAGGGACGGGUAGAGGGAUGGGGUAGAAUAGUAAAGGUCAAGGGGGUGUAUUGUAUGUAUGUUUGUGUGUAUGAUGGGGUGUGUCUGUUAGGAUGAUUGACUUUGUGUGUGUGUAGAGAGAGAGAGAGAGAGAGAGAGAGAGAGAGAGAGAGAGAGAGAGAGAGAGAGAGAGAGAGAGAGAGAGAGAGAGAGAGAGAGAGAGAGAGAGAGAGUAUGGCUUGGUUCACGUAAGGUGUUCAUUUGUUCAUUUCCGUGUUUGUUCAUUCAUUCAGUUGUUUGUUUGUGUGAUAGUUAACUGGUGAUUUCCAUUAUUUGAUGAUGUGUUGUCUAUCCGAGCUGGUGAAUGACUGGGGGCCUGACUUGGUGAGCUGCAGGAUGAUCCAGGGUGAAGAGCAGGAAGAAGAGGAGGAGGAGGAGGAGGAAGGGUUUAAUUAAUGCAGGGGUGAAAAAAGGGAGUAUUAGACAUUAGUUAUUCACGUCGUUAAAGCGUGUGACCUGAUAGAGUGUGAUUGGUUCCUGCCUGGUCCCCCGCGUGGUGAUUGGUGCGCUGGCUGAGGGAAGGGCGCCGCGGCUCCUUGGUGUUCGUCAUGUUGCAACAUUUAGUACAGAUGUUCUCGUGAUUUAUUUAUUUAUUUAUUUAUUUUUGAUAUAUUUUUCUGUAUUUUACAUGUGACCUGACAAAUAAACGUUCCGGUGUAUUUAUGUAGCAACUAAGUAAUUUCUUCGUUUGUUGUGUGAUUCCAUCUUUGUACUUUUUUGUAAAGAAAACCAAGCGACUGUUUAUAUAUAUAUAUAUAUAUAUAUAUAUAUAUAUAUAUAUAUAUAUAUAUAUAUAUAUAUAUAUAUAUAUAUAUAUAUAUAUAUAUAUAUAUAUAUAUAUAUAUAUAUAUAUAUAUAUAAUUUUAUUUAUUUAUUUUUUUUCUCCUCCAUUCGUGCCGCCUGGUGAAGUGGGCCUGGGUGACUCUUGUCUUGGUGAUCGUUCCUUCGUGUUGCUUUUCUAGAUGCAAAUGUUUUUUUUUUUUUUUUUCAUUUAUUUUUAUGUAAUGUUUUAUGGCUCACCUCAGGACAACGCGACCUUCGUUCAGUGUGAAUCAUGUUAAUUACGUAGCUCGGCGGAGUAUUUUUCUUUAAUGAAUCUUGUAUGAUACUGAGGAGCUUGUAUAGACUGUAGGGUGUUUAGCUGUCAUGUGUUGCUGCACUAUGAUGGAUGAUGGCCAGGGAGUAAGGAGGAGGUGACGAGUGUUGGUGACCCCAGAGUGACCGCCUCUUCACGUUUUGGUGACCGUCAUCCUUACCUGCGUGUUGUACAUCCUGCAUUCGUGGCUUUGUGUUACUGUAGCCAAGAUGCAAUAGUUUACAGCAGUCAUAAAGGUUGAUAGGCUUUUCUUCAGGUGUUUUGUUAGUUGUUAAGUUAGGUGGUAUAGUUCCCCUGCAUCAUUACCUACAGCCACGUCACAGGCCAGGCCGCGGGGCAGGCGGUGGGCACAGCGCCUGCCUGCCUGCCUGCUUCACGUCUUGUGUCAUCACCAGGACUUGAGUCGCGUUAGCCUCAUUUCUUUAUUAGUUUUUCAUUUUUAUUUAUUUGUUAUUCCCUCUUCCACGGCCAAAGUUGUACUCGUAAUUGUAAGGAUACUCCCGAAGCUCCCGCCAGAUGUCUCUGCAACUGUGCGGGCUUCGUGAACCAUAUCAGAUGUCACCUGGGCUGUGAGUUUACCUCACGGCACGCACCACACGUGAGCCACCCACUGUUCCAGGACAGCCGCUGUGAGCCAGGGCUUUGUCUGCAGCGAUGCUUGAUAGCGGUCCAUGCUGUGCACCAGAUCGGCCCUGCUGCACAGUGAGGUAACAAUGUAGCAGCCUUGUGAAGCCUGUCAUUGCACACGUGGACCAAGGCUGAGGGCUGGAAAGUAAACAAAGGAAGGCUCAUCGGAUGGCUGCCAGUGAGAUCGAUGGGAUGUGAGUACACGGGAGUCGCAUCUGUACUUCCGCUGACCGCCUGGCCAUCACACUGGGGAUCACUGAGCAAAGGUGGCGUGUAGUGCACAGGUGACCCGUAACCUCGCCGCCACCCUCACCCGACACCACUAUUGCCACACACCACAGUGGUUACCAGUGUUGGUGGUAGUGGUGCCUGUAUUGCUGGUGAUGGUGGUGGUGGUGGACACAAUACUCGAUGUAUGAUGAGCAACUCAAAUACUCUCAGAUAAAAAUAGAUACUUUAAUCUAUAGAUCUUCAAGACAUUUGUCUGUCUAUAUUUUUUGAGCGCCAGUCCCACAAAACAGAGCUUAUAUUGGUGUAGAGUAAAGGUGACGAACUGAAUACCUCCCCGAGGGAAGCGCGCCGAGCACACCCUCGCCCACCUGAGGCAGGCACCCAAGUACCGUCUGGCUGACAUGAAGCAAGCCGAGUACCGCACCACUGACGUGAAGAAAGUGAGCCUCGGCUAAACACAAUACGAGCCUGGUACCCGCCUCGUUAACACGGAGGCGAGGCAAGCCCCGCCACGCUGACCCAAGGGAGGCGAGCCGACAUAAACACCAUUCUUAUCUCGGUGUUCAGGAUCGUCCUAAAAUGUAAAAUGAAUAAAAUAUAUUAAGAAAA